RNAcentral lists this ribosomal RNA (1398 nucleotides) under Arthrobacter sp. SW1. RNAcentral's name for it is "Bacterial small subunit ribosomal RNA". It matches the Rfam family "Bacterial small subunit ribosomal RNA". The record is from Rfam by way of RNAcentral. Lineage: Bacteria; Bacillati; Actinomycetota; Actinomycetes; Micrococcales; Micrococcaceae.
UUGACGGAGAGUUUGAUCCUGGCUCAGGAUGAACGCUGGCGGCGUGCUUAACACAUGCAAGUCGAACGAUGAAGCACCGCUUGCGGUGUGGAUUAGUGGCGAACGGGUGAGUAACACGUGAGUAACCUGCCCUUGACUCUGGGAUAAGCCUGGGAAACUGGGUCUAAUACCGGAUAUGACCUUUUACCGCAUGGUGGAGGGUGGAAAGCUUUUGUGGUUUUGGAUGGACUCGCGGCCUAUCAGCUGGGCGCAAGCCUGAUGCAGCGACGCCGCGUGAGGGAUGACGGCCUUCGGGUUGUAAACCUCUUUCAGUAGGGAAGAAGCGAAAGUGACGGUACCUGCAGAAGAAGCGCCGGCUAACUACGUGCCAGCAGCCGCGGUAAUACGUAGGGCGCAAGCGUUAUCCGGAAUUAUUGGGCGUAAAGAGCUCGUAGGCGGUUUGUCGCGUCUGCUGUGAAAGACCGGGGCUCAACUCCGGUUCUGCAGUGGGUACGGGCAGACUAGAGUGAUGUAGGGGAGACUGGAAUUCCUGGUGUAGCGGUGAAAUGCGYAGAUAUCAGGAGGAACACCGAUGGCGAAGGCAGGUCUCUGGGCAUUAACUGACGCUGAGGAGCGAAAGCAUGGGGAGCGAACAGGAUUAGAUACCCUGGUAGUCCAUGCCGUAAACGUUGGGCACUAGGUGUGGGGAGCAUUCCACGUUUUCCGCGCCGUAGCUAACGCAUUAAGUGCCCCGCCUGGGGAGUACGGCCGCAAGGCUAAAACUCAAAGGAAUUGACGGGGGCCCGCACAAGCGGCGGAGCAUGCGGAUUAAUUCGAUGCAACGCGAAGAACCUUACCAAGGCUUGACAUGGACUAGACCGGGCUGGAAACAGUCUUUCCCUUCGGGGCUGGUUCACAGGUGGUGCAUGGUUGUCGUCAGCUCGUGUCGUGAGAUGUUGGGUUAAGUCCCGCAACGAGCGCAACCCUCGUUCCAUGUUGCCAGCACGUGAUGGUGGGGACUCAUGGGAGACUGCCGGGGUCAACUCGGAGGAAGGUGGGGACGACGUCAAAUCAUCAUGCCCCUUAUGUCUUGGGCUUCACGCAUGCUACAAUGGCCGGUACAAAGGGUUGCGAUACUGUGAGGUGGAGCUAAUCCCAAAAAGCCGGUCUCAGUUCGGAUUGGGGUCUGCAACUCGACCCCAUGAAGUCGGAGUCGCUAGUAAUCGCAGAUCAGCAACGCUGCGGUGAAUACGUUCCCGGGCCUUGUACACACCGCCCGUCAAGUCACGAAAGUUGGUAACACCCGAAGCCGGUGGCCUAACCCCUUGUGGGAGGGAGCCGUCGAAGGUGGGACCGGCGAUUGGGACUAAGUCGUAACAAGGUAGCCGUACCGGAAGGUGCGGCUGGAUCACCUCCUUU